This 467-nucleotide ribosomal RNA is filed under the name uncultured bacterium. Its description in RNAcentral is "partial 16S ribosomal RNA". It matches the Rfam family "Bacterial small subunit ribosomal RNA", at positions 28 to 507 of the family's 1533-position model. The record is from RNAcentral.
GACGAACGCUGGCGGCGUGCUUAACACAUGCAAGUCGAACGAUGAAGCCCAGCUUGCUGGGUGGAAGAGUGGCGAACGGGUGAGUAACACGUGAGUAACCUGCCCUGAACUCUGGGAUAAGCACUGGAAACGGUGUCUAAUACUGGAUACGACCCAUCACCGCAUGGUGUGUGGGUGGAAAGAUUUAUCGGUUCUGGAUGGACUCGCGGCCUAUCAGCUAGAUGGUGAGGUAAUGGCUCACCAUGGCGACGACGGGUAGCCGGCCUGAGAGGGUGACCGGCCACACUGGGACUGAGACACGGCCCAGACUCCUACGGGAGGCAGCAGUGGGGAAUAUUGCACAAUGGGCGCAAGCCUGAUGCAGCAACGCCGCGUGAGGGAUGACGGCCUUCGGGUUGUAAACCUCUUUUAGUAGGGAAGAAGCGAAAGUGACGGUACCUGCAGAAAAAGCACCGGCUAACUACGUG